CAGGCAGACUCUACCAUCUGAAUGCACCCGAUCUCAUCUGAUCUCAGAAGCGAAGCAGAGUCAGGCCUGGUUCAGUUCAGUUCAGUCGCUCAGUCAUGUCCGACUGUUUGC
Molecule: ribosomal RNA, 111 nt
Filed under: Capra hircus (goat)
Lineage: Eukaryota; Metazoa; Chordata; Mammalia; Artiodactyla; Bovidae
Source: RNAcentral